This 535-nucleotide ribosomal RNA is filed under the name uncultured bacterium. RNAcentral describes it as "partial 16S ribosomal RNA". It matches the Rfam family "Bacterial small subunit ribosomal RNA", at positions 355 to 905 of the family's 1533-position model. The record is from RNAcentral.
UGGGGAAUAUUGCACAAUGGGCGAAAGCCUGAUGCAGCAACGCCGCGUGAGUGAUGAAGGCCUUCGGGUUGUAAAGCUCUGUCUUUUGGGACGAUAAUGACGGUACCAAAGGAGGAAGCCACGGCUAACUACGUGCCAGCAGCCGCGGUAAUACGUAGGUGGCAAGCGUUGUCCGGAUUUACUGGGCGUAAAGGAUGCGUAGGCUGGAUUUUUAAGUGAGAUGUGAAAUACCCGGGCUUAACUUGGGUGCUGCAUUUCAAACUGGGAAUCUAGAGUGCGGGAGAGGAGAAUGGAAUUCCUAGUGUAGCGGUGAAAUGCGUAGAGAUUAGGAAGAACACCAGUGGCGAAGGCGAUUCUCUGGACCGUAACUGACGCUGAGGCAUGAAAGCGUGGGUAGCAAACAGGAUUAGAUACCCUGGUAGUCCACGCCGUAAACGAUGAGUACUAGGUGUAGGAGGUAUCGACCCCUUCUGUGCCGCAGUUAACACAAUAAGUACUCCGCCUGGGAAGUACGAUCGCAAGAUUAAAACUCAAA